Molecule: long non-coding RNA, 1979 nt
Filed under: Homo sapiens (human)
Lineage: Eukaryota; Metazoa; Chordata; Mammalia; Primates; Hominidae
Description: PREDICTED lncRNA (TCONS_00152800)
Source: RNAcentral
CGCGGUGAUUUAACAGCUUUUGUUUUGGGCAGAAGAACCUAUGGGCACAAAAAGCAGGAACGAGUAGCGGUGGCUGAAGAACGAGCAGGAGCUUGAAUUUCAGUUUUCUUAUGAGGAAUUUUCCAGAAAAGAUAUCUUCACUGUGAAAUAACUAAAUAAAUGCCCACUCAGUACAGUCACUGUCUCCCUUUUGGAACUUGAUGGCACCUUAAGCCCAGGUUUGCCUCCACUCUAGAAACUCAUCAGAGUGAUGCCCUUCUCAAAUGGGGGAGGUCCCAAAGCGGAUAUCCUGGCAGUGUGAAAGGCCGGCUAAAGACAAAAAUACCUGCUACAUGCUUCCUUCUGUAUGAAUACAUGAGACCUACCUUCAUUCAUGUUUCCUCUAUGAAGCUUUCCCUGCACUCCAAACACAGAGCUGAGACUUCCACCUAAUGUAGAAAGCUAGCACGAGCCGGCGCUGACAGAUGGAAGACUUGAGAUGUUACAAGAUUAUAUAUGGAAACACAAAAGGAGUGGAGUUGCUGGGUCAUAUGGCAAUUCAUUUGAGGAACUGAGAAGCUUAUUCCAUGGAGGCUGAACUGUUUUAUAUUCCCACCAGCAACGUGUAAGGUUCCAGUUUAUCUACAUCAUCACCAACACUUGCUAUUUUCCAUUUCAUUAAUGAUAGCCAUCCUAGUGGAUUUGAAGUGGUACCUUAUUAUCGUGGUUUUGAUUGCAUUCUCUAUUGACUAAUGAUAUCGAGCAUCUUUUCAUGUAUUUUUUGGUCAUUUGGUCAUUUUUCUUUUUUAAUUUUAAAAUUUUGAGACAGGCUCUCACUAUGUUGCCCAGGUGGUCUCAAACUCCUGGGUUCCAGCGAUGCUCAUGCCUCAGUCUCCCAAAGGGGUGGGAUUACAGGUGUGAGCCACUUUGCCCAGCCCAUUUGUAUAUCUCCUUUGGAGAAUAUCUAGGUUCUUUUGAAGGUAGCUGCAUAUAAACUAGCCAAAUUAACAGACUGUGGUUUUUAGAUGGCUUUCCAUAUCUACAAGAACUAUUUAGUUCUCAAAACUGGGAAGAAAUGUUUCAGAGGCAUCAUUAAUUCAUAAUCUAAAAAUUUAUCUUGGGUUUCCUUUUUUCCCCCAGAUUCUGUAUCCUCCAUAGUCCUAUUCAUGACAUGGGUCGUUCAUCUCUGUAUUCUAAACCCUCAAUGAACUGUAGACAGUAAUAAAUAUUUAUUGGAUGAAUGGUCUCUCAUCAGCCACCUUUUCUUUUUUUUUUUUUGAGACAGAGUCUCACUCUGUCACUCAGGCUGGAGUGCAGUGGCGCGAUCUCGGUUCACUGCAACCUCUGCCUCCCGGGUUCAAGUGAUUCUCCCACCUGAGCCUCCCGAGUAGCUGGGAUUACAGGUGCACGCCACCUUGUCUGGCUAAUUUUUGUAUUUUUAGUAGAGACAGGGUUUCACCGUGUUGGUCAGGCUGGUCUCAAACGCCUGACCUCAGGUGAUCUGCCCGACUUGGCCUCCCAAAGUGCUGGGAUUACAGGUGUGAGCCACCGCACCUGGCCUCCAGCCUCUUUUCUUUUUUUUUUUUGAGACAAGUCUAACUCUGUCACCCAGGCUGGAGAGCAGCGGCAUGAUCAUGGCUCACUGCUGCCUCAACCUCAGAGGCUCAAGUCAUUGUCCCCACCUCAGCCUCCCUAGUAGACUGGACUACAGGCAUGUGCCACCACACCCAGCUAAUUUUUCAUCAGCCACCUUUUCUAACCAUCUGUCUGCACUGACUUCCCAGGUUCUGCAUCAUUAUUGGUUUACUGAGACAAUGCACUUCACCCGUCCUUCAAUCCCAAAGUAGCACAGAAUAUCAGGAGUUCUUUGAGCCCCUAAGUGCCCUACUUUCCCAGGGUCAGGGGACCCUGACAAGCAAGGUCCCCACAUCUUUCUGUGGUUGGAUAGGGAUAUAAAAUUUCUCACACAUGUUAAAUCAAGAUACUUUGGCCAGGCACGG